GACGAACGCUGGCGGCGUGCUUAACACAUGCAAGUCGAACGGAAAGGCCCUGCUUUUGUGGGGUGCUCGAGUGGCGAACGGGUGAGUAACACGUGAGUAACCUGCCCUUGACUUUGGGAUAACUUCAGGAAACUGGGGCUAAUACCGGAUAGGAGCUCCUGCUGCAUGGUGGGGGUUGGAAAGUUUCGGCGGUUGGGGAUGGACUCGCGGCUUAUCAGCUUGUUGGUGGGGUAGUGGCUUACCAAGGCUUUGACGGGUAGCCGGCCUGAGAGGGUGACCGGCCACAUUGGGACUGAGAUACGGCCCAGACUCCUACGGGAGGCAGCAGUGGGGAAUAUUGCACAAUGGGCGGAAGCCUGAUGCAGCAACGCCGCGUGCGGGAUGACGGCCUUCGGGUUGUAAACCGCUUUCGCCUGUGACGAAGCGUGAGUGACGGUAAUGGGUAAAGAAGCACCGGCUAACUACGUGCCAGCAGCCGCGGUGAUACGUAGGGUGCGAGCGUUGUCCGGAUUUAUUGGGCGUAAAGGGCUCGUAGGUGGUUGAUCGCGUCGGAAGUGUAAUCUUGGGGCUUAACCCUGAGCGUGCUUUCGAUACGGGUUGACUUGAGGAAGGUAGGGGAGAAUGGAAUUCCUGGUGGAGCGGUGGAAUGCGCAGAUAUCAGGAGGAACACCAGUGGCGAAGGCGGUUCUCUGGGCCUUUCCUGACGCUGAGGAGCGAAAGCGUGGGGAGCGAACAGGCUUAGAUACCCCGGUAGUCCACGCUGUAAACGGUGGGUACUAGGUGUGGGGUCCAUUCCACGGGUUCCGUGCCGUAGCUAACGCUUUAAGUACCCCGCCUGGGGAGUACGGCCGCAAGGCUAAAACUCAAAGGAAUUGACGGGGCCCCGCACAAGCGGCGGAGCAUGCGGAUUAAUUCGAUGCAACGCGUAGAACCUUACCUGGGUUUGACAUGGAUCGGGAGUGCUCAGAGAUGGGUGUGCCUCUUUUGGGGUCGGUUCACAGGUGGUGCAUGGCUGUCGUCAGCUCGUGUCGUGAGAUGUUGGGUUAAGUCCCGCAACGAGCGCAACCCUUGUUCACUGUUGCCAGCACGUUAUGGUGGGGACUCAGUGGAGACCGCCGGGGUCAACUCGGGGGAAGGUGGGGAUGACGUCAAGUCAUCAUGCCCCUUAUGUCCAGGGCUUCACGCAUGCUACAAUGGCUGGUACAGAGAGUGGCGAGCCUGUGAGGGUGAGCGAAUCUCGGAAAGCCGGUCUCAGUUCGGAUUGGGGUCUGCAACUCGACCUCAUGAAGUCGGAGUCGCUAGUAAUCGCAGAUCAGCAACGCUGCGGUGAAUACGUUCCCGGG
Molecule: ribosomal RNA, 1343 nt
Filed under: uncultured bacterium
Lineage: Bacteria
Description: 16S ribosomal RNA
Rfam family: Bacterial small subunit ribosomal RNA
Source: RNAcentral